This 99-nucleotide ribosomal RNA is filed under the name uncultured bacterium. Its description in RNAcentral is "partial 16S ribosomal RNA". It matches the Rfam family "Bacterial small subunit ribosomal RNA", at positions 1386 to 1482 of the family's 1533-position model. The record is from RNAcentral.
CACACCGCCCGUCACACCACGAAAGUCUGCAACACCCGAAGCCGGUGAGCUAACUCGUAAGAGAGGCAGCCGUCGAAGGUGGGGCCGAUGAUUGGGGUG